GAGACAUUUGCAGCUGAGUGAUUCUCUACUAUGGGUUUUUGCUAUGCAUUGUGAGGUGUUUAUCAGCAUCCCUGGGUCCUACCAGAUGGCGUUAGCACCACCAACCCCAACCCUGCCCCUGUUAUGAUAACCAGAUAUCUCUGCAGAGAUUACCAGCUAUACUUUGAGAGGGAACAUUGCCUUGGUUGUUAAGUCCAGUCCAGGGUACUAGACUGGUGUGUGUGUGUGUGUGUGUGUGUGUGUGUGUUUUAGAGAUUUCCAAAAUGUGAAUGAAUACUUUUGAAGUGUCAUUCCAAUGUGUAGUCAGUUGACAUCUUAAUCUUAUGGCCUCACAAACCAAGAUUUUCUUGUCAUAUGUAGAUUUUUCUUAUUUUAAAUCAGAUUGCAGCUAUAACAUCUAGCACAGCUUCUUUUGCAAUUGACACCUAUCUACCUUCACCUUCUUCCUUCCAUAUUUUGAACACACUACCACCACCACAUCUCUAAAAAACAGAAUUCAGUGCCUAUUUUUUUAUUUUGCAAACCAAAGGGUUUUUUUAUUUUUUAUUUUGCAAUUAGUACUUUGAUAUACUUUUUGAAGAACAUGGUUCUUAACUUUGAUAUACAUUGGAGUCCCAUCUCCAGGGACAACAAGAUACACUAGCUCUUAUCUUAAGGCCUACUCAGGAAUUCAAAAAUAUCUCAGUUGAUAACUACUGAUUUAGAGUCUGUAAAACCCAUUGUAAAAACAGCCUGCUCAUUUUCUGAAAAAUUGUCUUCUUCCAAUUUUGAAUUUUUUUUUAAUGGUGAAAGCUUAAAACAUGUAUUUUUCUCUGAGACAUUUCAUUUCUUUGGUCAGUAAAAAGAUAAAAAAAUUUUCCCCAGGAAUAUUCUGAUCCAAAUUUCCUCCUUAUCUUACUGCAUGUAAUGAAUAAUUAAUUCUAAUUGAGUAGCCAAUUUCAGCCAGCAUUACCACUAUUGGUAUUAAUACCUACAGUUAGAACAAAGUUUAAAUUGUUGUGUAUAUAUAAUAGGAAUUUCAAGACAACUACUCCCUUGUUUUAGUAUAAGCUUUUACAACACACCCUUGGAUGAAGAUAUCACAAGCCUCUUCAGUUUAAGGAGGAUUCUAACUUUAUAUUUCCACUUAAUGAAGCCCUUAUGUUGAAAGACCAAUUUAAUUAAGAGUACAGGCUUAAUGAGCCCAUCGAAAACAUUAAAUGUGAGUGGCCACCAACGGCAACCUCAGUCUGGGAAGGCUGUGGGGAAUGCUUCAGCACCCCCCCCCCCCGUGGGUGAAGAUAUGAGGCGUCCAAGUUGCUCUCCAGCCCAGGAGUCAUACAGGUGACCAGCAUGGUUAGCUUUCUGGGCUAGUGCCUUCCCCUCAGCUCCAGUCUUAGCUCAUUUCUGCAAACAGAACCCUCAUUUUUCACUCCACACCCGGAUAUUCCUCCUCACACUUUGUUUCAUGGCUUCUUUGAGUGUCUCUGCUUAAAUGUGGUUGAGUAUGGAAAGAAUGCCCUUCAUGUCCCAGUGAAUGAGCAAAGGAGAAGAAAAUAGCUGGGCCAUGUCACAGGCGUGUAAUCCCAGCAGCUCGGGAGGCUGAGGUGGAAGGAUGAGGGGUUCAAUGACAGCCUCAGCCAUUUAGCAAGGCCCUAUCUCCAAAUAAAACCUAAAAUGGGCUGGAGAUAUGUCAGUGG
Molecule: long non-coding RNA, 1679 nt
Filed under: Marmota monax (woodchuck)
Lineage: Eukaryota; Metazoa; Chordata; Mammalia; Rodentia; Sciuridae
Source: RNAcentral